UCUGCUGCAAGCAAUUCUCCUCAUAUAAAAUAGAUGCACGGGGUGGCGGGAACCAGAAGCCCUCCAGUCGGUGGAAGGGAUAGUGGUGUGAUAGUGGUGGUGCUGGAGAGUGUGUCGUAGGAAAAUCCCAGACCUAGGCGUGAAUCUCAUUUCGACAACUUACUCACCACCACCAUGCCCGGCCACGUCGUGAAAAGCACGGGUCCCGACCCCGACCCCACCGAGUUCCUGUUCAUCUCGGCUGAACAGCGAAUGCUCGACCAGACCAAGCCUUAUGAUCCCAAGAAGUCUUGCUGGGUCCCUGACGAUAAGGAGGGCUUCGCUGAGGGCUUGAUCCAGGGCGCCAAGGGUGACAAACUAGUCAGCGUCCAGCUGAAGAGCGGUGAGGUCAAGGACUUCAAGAAGGAUCUUGUGGUUCAGGUCAACCCUCCCAAGUACGAAAAGUGCGAAGAUGUGUCCAACUUGACCUUCCUCAAUGAUGCUUCUGUCCUGUACAACUUGAAGAGCCGUUACCAGGCUAAGCUCAUCUACACCUACUCUGGCCUCUUCUGUAUUGUCAUCAACCCCUACAAGCGUUACCCCAUCUACACCAACCGCACCGUCAAGAUCUACCAGGGCAAGAGGCGUAAUGAGGUGCCUCCCCAUCUCUUCGCCAUUUCCGACGGCGCCUACAUGGAUAUGUUGCAAUCUCAGCAGAACCAGUCGAUGCUUAUCACCGGCGAAUCUGGUGCCGGCAAGACUGAGAACACGAAGAAGGUGCUGUCCUACUUCGCCAACGUCGGUGCCACCUCCAAGAAGAAGGAAGACGAGAAUAAGCAGAACCUGGAGGACCAGAUCGUGCAGACCAACCCUCCCCUGGAGGCCUACGGUAAUGCCAAGACUACCCGUAAUGACAACUCCUCUCGUUUCGGUAAGUUCAUCCGCAUCCACUUCGCCCCCAACGGCAAGCUCUCCGGUGCUGACAUCGAGGUGUACCUGCUGGAGAAGGCUCGCGUCGUGUCCCAGGCCCCUGCCGAGCGUGGCUACCAUAUCUUCUACCAAAUGAUGUCCGAUCAAGUAGAUUAUCUAAAGAAACUGUGUCAUCUUUCGGACGACAUCUACGACUACCGCUACGAGUGCCAGGGCAAGGUCACUGUGCCUUCCAUCGACGACAAGGAAGACAUGGAAUUCACACAUAAUGCUUUCACCAUCUUGAAUUUCACUAACGAAGAACGUGACAGCUGCUACAAGAUCACCGCCGCUGUCAUGCACCAUGGCAACAUGAAGUUCAAGCAGAGGGGUCGCGAGGAGCAGGCUGAGCCCGACGGCACAGAUGCCGGUGAUGUUAUUGCUGACCUUAUGGGUGUUGAGACUGAGGAACUGUACAAGAAUUUCUGUAAGCCCAAGAUCAAGGUCGGUGCCGAGUUCGUCACCCAGGGUAGGAAUGUCGACCAGGUCUACUAUUCCGUUAGUGCCAUGGCUAAAGGCUUGUUCGACCGUCUCUUUAAGUGGAUUGUGAAGAAGUGUAACCAGACCCUCGAGACCGGCAUGAAGCGUGCCAUGUUCAUUGGUGUGCUCGAUAUUGCCGGCUUCGAGAUCUUCGACUUCAACGGCUUCGAGCAGAUCUGCAUCAACUUCUGUAACGAGAAGUUGCAGCAGUUCUUCAACCACCACAUGUUCGUGCUUGAGCAAGAGGAGUACAAGGCCGAAGGAAUUGACUGGGUCUUUGUCGACUUCGGUAUGGAUCUGCAGGCUUGCAUUGAGCUCUUCGAAAAGAAACUUGGCCUUCUCGCCAUCCUAGAAGAAGAGUCUAUGUUCCCCAAAGCCACCGACAAGUCGUUUGAGGAGAAGCUGAAGGCCAACCAUCUGGGCAAGUCUCCCUGCUUCAUUAAGCCUAAGCCUCCCAAGGCUGGACAGUCUGAGGGUCACUUCGCCAUCGUUCACUACGCCGGCACUGUGACUUACAACCUGUCUGGUUGGCUGGAGAAGAACAAGGACCCCCUCAACGACACCGUCGUCGACCAGCUCAAGAAAUCCAAGUUGCCUCUUGUUGUGGAGCUCUUUGCCGAUCAUCCCGGCCAGUCUGCCCCGGCUGAGGCCAAGGGAGGCAAGAAGAAGAAGACUGGAGGUUUCAAGACUGUAUCUUCUGGCUAUAGGGAGCAGUUGAACAGCCUCAUGACGACCCUGCACUCCACUCACCCUCACUUCGUCCGUUGCAUUGUGCCCAACGAGACCAAGUCCCCAGGUGUCGUGGAGGCUGGUCUCAUCAUGCAUCAGCUGACUUGCAAUGGUGUACUUGAGGGUAUUCGUAUUUGCCAGAAGGGCUUCCCCAACAGGAUGCAAUACCCUGACUUCAAACACCGUUACAAAAUUUUGGCUGCUGACGUCAUGGCCACAGAAAAGGAUGACAAAAAGGCAGCAGAAAUGACAUUCCAGAAAGCUGGGCUUGAUAAGGAGCUGUAUAGGUGCGGUAAGACAAAGGUAUUCUUCCGUGCUGGUGUCCUGGGUACCAUGGAAGAGCUUCGUGAUGACCGUUUGGCCAAGAUCAUCACUUGGAUGCAGUCUUGGAUCCGCGGUCUGAUUGGACGUAAGGAAUAUGGCCGUCUUCAGGAACAACGUGUCUCCCUCGUAGUUCUGCAGAGGAACAUUCGCAAGUUUAUGGAGAUGAGUAACUGGUCUUGGUUCAUCUUCUGGCAGAAGGUCAAGCCCCUCAUCAACCAGCCUAGGAUUGAAGAUGAGAUCAACAAACUCAAGGACAGGGCUGAGAAGGCUGUUGCAGACUUGGAUCGCGAAACAACUCGCCGAAAGGAGCUGGAAGAUUCCAACCUAAGCCUUGCCGAAGAGCUGAAUACCCUGAAAGAAACGCUUGAAUCCACAAAGGGCAAUGUUUCCAAAUUUAUUGAAGAACAGGCCAAGAUUAGCGCAGCCAAAGCUGACUUGGAGGCACAGCUCUCUGAUGCUUCUACAAGACUUCAGAAGGAAGAAGAAGCUCGCACUGAAAUGUUCCAGUUGAAGAGGAAAGCGGAGCAAGAUGUCAAUGCCAUGAGGAAAGACCUGGAAGACUUUGAACUUAAUGUCCAGAAGACUAACCAGGAUAAGGCUACCAAGGAUCAUCAGAUCAGGAAUAUCAAUGAUGAGAUCGCCCACCAGGAUGAAAUCAUCAACAAGGUUAACAAGGAAAAGAAACUGCUACAGGAGAUGAAUCAAAAGACUGCUGAGGACCUUCAAGCCGUCGAGGAGAAGGCCAGCCACCUCAACAAGAUCAAGGCCAAGUUGGAGCAAACCCUUGACGAACUCGAGAGUUCCGUUGGACGCGAGAAGAAGCUUCGUGCCGAAAUUGAGAGGUCCAAGAGGAAGGUAGAGGGAGAUCUUAAAAUGGCCCAAGAAACUGUUGCUGACAUCGAGCGCCAGCACAAGGACCUAGAACAAACCAUCCAGCGCAAGGACAAGGAAAUCGGCAAUCUUGCCAAUAAGCUGGAGGAGGAACAGGGAGUUGUUUCGAAGGUACAGAAAACAAUCAAAGAAAUGCAAUCCCGUAUUGAGGAACUGGAGACUGAAGCUGAGCACGAGCGACAGGCUCGUGCCAAGGCUGAGAAGGGCAAGGGUAAUGAUGAGUCGUGAACUGAAUGACCUCAAUGAACGUCUGGAUGAGGCAGGUGGUGCAACUGGUGCUCAGAUUGAACUCAACAAGAAGAGGGAGGCGGAGCUUGCUAAGCUUCGUCGUGAGCUUGAGGAAGCCAACAUCCAACACGAAUCGGCUCUUGCUAAUCUUCGCAAGAAGCACAAUGAUGCUGUUGCCGAGAUGACUGAACAGAUCGAUCAUCUCAACAAGAUGAAGGCCAAAACUGAGAAGGAAAAGGAGAUGAUGAAAUAUCAGGCCGAUGAAGCUAAAUCAGCCAUGGAUAGUCUCGCUCGUGACAAGGCACUUGCCGAGAAAGCAAACAAGACUAUUCAGCAGCAAAUCAGUGAAGUGAAUGUUAAGCUGGAUGAAGCUAACCGCACACUGAACGACUUUGAUGCCCAGAAGAAGAAGCUCUCCGUUGAGAAUGGAGACCUGCUGCGACAGCUGGAAGAAGCUGAUAAUCAGAUUAAUCAGCUAAACAAUCUGAAGGUGUCUCUUACCACUCAACUGGAAGAUACUAAGAAAAUGGUUGAUGAUGAAUCUAGGGAACGCAGCGUUCUUCUUGGCAAGUUCCGCAACUUGGAGCAUGAUCUGGAUGGCCUUCGUGAGCAGCUUGAUGAAGAGUGUGAAGCCAAGGCUGAUGCCAACCGCCAGCUGUCCAAGGCCCAUGCUGAAGCUCAUAUGUGGCGCUCAAAGUAUGAAUCUGAAGGCGUUGCCCGUGCUGAAGAGAUUGAAGCUGCCCGCCUGAAGCUUGCUGCUCGCCUCGAGGAAGCUGAGCUGCAGAUUGAACAACUCAAUGUCAAGAAUAUGCAGCUGGAGAAGGCCAAGGGACGCAUCAUUUCCGAAAUCGACGAGAUGCAGAUGCAGGUAGAGCGUGCCCAGGGACUGGCUAAUGCUGCUGAGAGAAGGCAGAAAGACUUCGACAGGGUUGUUAAUGAGUGGAAGAUCAAGGUUGACCAACUGGCCACUGACCUUGAUGCUUCUCAAAAGGAAUGUCGUCAGUACUCCACUGAGCACUUCCGUAUCAAGGCCAUGUAUGAGGAAAACCUGGAACACCUGGACUCUGUUCGUCGUGAGAACAAGGGUCUCGCUGAGGAGAUCAAGGACUUGAUGGAGCAGAUCAGCGAGGGUGGCCGCUCUCUUCAUGAGAUUGAAAAGAACGCCAAGCGUUUCGAGAUCGAGAAGGAGGAGCUCCAGGCUGCUCUUGAGGAGGCCGAAGCUGCCCUUGAACAGGAAGAGAACAAGGUUCUUCGUGGUCAGUUGGAGCUGAGCCAAGUCAGGCAGGAGAUUGAUAAGCGCAUUCAGGAGAAGGAAGAAGAGUUUGAUGCCACUCGUAAAUGUCACCAACGUGCAAUCGAAUCCAUGCAAGCUUCACUUGAAGCAGAAGCUAAAAGCAAGGCUGAGGCCCUCCGCAUGAAGAAGAAGCUUGAAUCUGACAUUGGUGAGCUGGAGAUUGCUCUGGAUCACGCUAACAAGGCCAAUGCUGACAUUCAGAAGCAGGUGAAGAAGGCUCAGGCCGAGAUGAAGGACAUGCAGGCUCGUGUGGAGGAGGAGCAGCGUCUUGCUUCUGAGUAUCGCGAGCAGUGCAGCGCCUCUGAGCGUAAGGCCAAUGCUGUCAAUGGUGAACUGGAGGAAUCCCGCACUCUUCUGGAACAGUCUGAUCGCGGACGCCGUCAGGCUGAAUCCGAGCUUGCUGAUGCCAAUGAGUCCCUCAGCCACCUUACGGCUCAGCAUGGAUCCCUUUCCAUGGCGAAGAGGAAGCUUGAGGGCGAGAUUCAGACUCUGCAUGCUGAACUUGAUGACAUGCUGAACGAGGCUAAGAACUCUGAGGACAAGGCCAAGAAGGCUAUGGUUGAUGCUGCUCGUCUGGCUGAUGAGCUCCGUGCUGAACAGGAUCACGCUCAGAACUCAGAAAAGAUGCGCAAGGGUCUGGAAGUGUCUGUGAAGGACCUUCAGGCUCGUCUUGAUGACUUCGAGUCUUCAGCUCACAAGACCGGCAAGAAAGCCCUCGCUAAACUGGAAGCUCGCAUUCGCGACCUAGAAACUCAGCUGGACGACGAAGCUCGCCGUCACGCCGACGCCCAGAAGAGCCUGAGGAAGUGCGAGAGGCGCAUCAAGGAACUCAGCUUCCAGUCCGACGAGGACAAGAAGAACCACGAGAGGAUGCAAGACCUGGUCGACAAGCUCCAGCAGAAGAUCAAGACCUACAAGCGGCAGAUCGAGGAGGCCGAGGAGAUCGCCGCCCUCAACCUGGCCAAGUAUCGUAAAGCUCAGCAGGAGCUUGAGACAGUUCAGAGGAGUUAAAUUAUUGUAAACAAGCCAUAUUUACGUGCAAUAUAGAAGUU
This is an RNA transcript of Penaeus monodon (black tiger shrimp), 5946 nucleotides long. It is a transcript of the gene named myosin heavy chain, muscle-like, with no coding region annotated. The transcript has 22 exons. The record is from RefSeq and is a predicted model, not a curated record. Lineage: Eukaryota; Metazoa; Arthropoda; Malacostraca; Decapoda; Penaeidae.